This 253-nucleotide ribosomal RNA is filed under the name uncultured bacterium. RNAcentral's name for it is "partial 16S ribosomal RNA". It matches the Rfam family "Bacterial small subunit ribosomal RNA", at positions 524 to 776 of the family's 1533-position model. The record is from RNAcentral.
UACAGAGGGUGCAAGCGUUGUUCGGAAUUAUUGGGCGUAAAGCGCGUGUAGGCGGCUUUGCAAGUCGGGUGUGAAAGCCCUCAGCUCAACUGAGGAAGUGCGCCCGAAACUGCAGAGCUUGAGUGCCGGAGAGGGUGGCGGAAUUCCCCAAGUAGAGGUGAAAUUCGUAGAUAUCAGGAGGAACACCGGUGGCGAAGGCGGCCACCUGGACAGUUACUGACGCUGAGGUGCGAAAGCGUGGGGAGCAAACAGG